RNAcentral lists this long non-coding RNA (5947 nucleotides) under Homo sapiens (human). RNAcentral's name for it is "HSALNT0099223". Lineage: Eukaryota; Metazoa; Chordata; Mammalia; Primates; Hominidae. The record is from RNAcentral.
AUACAACAGAUGUCUUAUGAGAAGCAGAGGGAGGACCUCAAGAGACUGCCUGGCCCAGUCCCUCACUAGGCGUAAGAAACAAACUCACCCAUCCAAACCCGAAGAAUGGACUCAGAGACCCAGAGAACAGCGAAAGUGAGAUUUUUAAUAAACAGUCAGUCUUGCAAAAUCGGGUGUCUGACGGACAGGCACACCCAGCAGUUUCAACAAGCAAUUUGUCCACUAGUGUGCAGGCUCCUCCCCCAGUUUCCCACAGGCUGAGUACUAUGGGGUCACAACCUUCCUGGACGUCACCUAUUGAUUGUUAGGCAGGGGCUUUAGGUGUUUUUGUUUGUUUGUUUGUUUUUAGGGUUGUCUUGCUGCAUUUUGUCACAGCCCACAAUGCAUUGCAAUCCUAGUCAGCUCAGGGGCUCUUCAAGUAUUUCACUUACGACCUAAGUAGCUGGGCUGGCUGAUAAGAACAGACAAAGGGAGCUAUUUUGCAGGCUAGUAGUAAGCUUUCAUUUUAGACUAAACUUCUUCGGUUCUGGUGAAGGCAACUAAUGGGGGGUAAGCGGGGAAAGGGGGAGGCCUACAAGCAGGCAUCAGCUAUCCAAGCAGGGGCCUCGAAUAUCCUGUUUCUUCUGUAGUCUGCUGACCUAAGCCAAUUUAAGGCACUUUGUCUUGGAAAUGCAACACUGUAUACAUUAUGUCCUUCACUGGUGAAAAUGAGAGGGGCUGUGACUGACUCAGUCCCAUAGUCACAGGCACCGGAACAGUCCCCAGCCUGCCCCUUGACUCAGAGCCCCCAUCUCCAAACUGUGCCUCAGAUUUGGGAGCACUAACGCGAUAACUUUGACUUCUUUUGUGCUGUAGUGACCAGCCUUCUGAAAGUGCCCAGAAAUUCUCUCUGAAGUGUGUUUGAGGCCAUGGGACGGAGGGAAGUGGCCUUUUAGCAGUACUGGGCAGGCAGAAUUGGCAAGAGUAAUUGGAAAGCUAAGGUACCUCAGCAGCAAGAGGUCUGGGACCACAGAAGCAGGUCAGGAAGCUGUUUUGGGGCCACUACGACCUUUGGAUGUGGACUUUGCUUUCAGGCUUACACAGUGCCCGUAAGUGAGCUGCACUGCAGCCCUAGCCCUGCCACUUGUGAGUGAGCUGAUCUCAGCAGGGUGGUAUGCUCCCUGCUCCGUGCUCCCCUGCUUUGCAACACCACAGCCUGCGUGGUUAAUAUCCCGGAUGACAGUUGCUUGUUUUUAUUCCAACAUGACCAGUUAGAAGCAGGGCAACCGUGGACAAGGUGGUGAACCCCUUUGUACUUCUGUGUUUUCAGUUGAAAAAUGGAGACGUCAAGUUCCCUAGUCACAGAGCAGCUGUGAUGGGACCCACGUAAACAGCCCUGAUCAGUAGUGAAGAGCAACAUGUGGCACACAGGGCCUCCUGCACAAGCAACAGUCGCUGCUUGCUGUUACUGUGGGCUCCACGUUGGGAUCAGACACACCUGUCUUCAGUGGCUUGCAGUUGCAGCAAGGACCGAAUGGUCUAUUCUAAAAGAAAACAUUACAGGCAGGCAGUACCAGACCACUGUGCUUGCAGCCCUCAUGAGAAGGCUCAGAAGACACAGGAGCUGCCCUGGGUGUGAAUUUCGUGUCCAUGCUGGCUUCUCGCAGUGGCCCUUGGCAUAGGUUGGGAUCUUGCAGCAAGAUUCUUCAUCGGUUUCUCCAUCUCUGAAGACUUCUUGCCAACAGCUGUACACGUGAAUAUAUUAUUUUCUCUUAUGCAGCUGUCUGUUUUACAUGAGUAGAAUGGAUGUGUGCUUCAGGGUCCCAGGAGAAAACACAUGCUGUGCCCAGACAAGACAGGAGCUGGGCUUAGAAAGGGCCCUGUUUACUCGAGGUGUGGCGGGGGGUUUAGCACCACAAAGGAAAGGGAAGUUGACUCCUACCCAUGUGACAGGGAAGCUUGUACCACUCUUACCUACACGGAGAGCCCAGUAUGAGAGGAGAGGUAGGUAGAAUGGUCUGCAUGGAGAGAGCUGGGGCAUCUGGGCCCAGGUAGCUCCAGGACAACUGUGCCAGCAGCUGCUCUACAGUCUCCUCCAGGAUCUCCAUCUACUGAGCCCACCUGGAAGCUGCAGGGUGGAGCUCUAGUGUCCAACCAGGUCCAUCUCCCAGAGUGCUCGGCAGGGCAGAGGAGCAUGGGCAGCAGUCUGGAAGAGCAAAAGAAAUCGGGCACAAAAUUCCUAAGGAGACAGUAAGUUUGCCAAAGGGCACAGACACGUCCUAAAUUCAUAGCUUGCUAGAGUUAAGAGCAUUAACAACAAUAAAAAUGCUCCUUGCCUGUAAAUGGGAUAAUCAUAGAAUGACUAAAUGAGGUCAAGUCACUCCAGGACCAUGAAAACAGAAAAGAGCACUAGAAGAGGUUGAACUUCAUGGGUGGGUGGCAGACAGUGCAUGGGCUACACCGAGGUACUUUCCCCACUGGUACUGUCCCUAAUUCACCUUGCCUGAUGGCCUAGACUCAAUGUUAGCAGCUGCCAUGCUGGCCCACCUGGGGAAGGCCACAGAGGGUUCGUGAAGCAGCCUGCUGUGCUCUACUUAAUCCUCCCAUGACCUUUACCUGUUCCUCUUAUCUUGCAGUUUUUGGAAGCAUCUUUUUCUCUGGGGCUUUGUGAUGGCCAAUAAGGAGGCCUGAGUCUCCCCAGAAGUUGCCCAGCACCUACUUGCCCAGCCCGCACUCCAGCUGUGGGUCAACUGGGAAGGAACAAAAACAAGACAAGGGGCUCCCUUCUGCUCCCACUCCCAGAGAAUGAAUCCCCCAGCUGCCUGCCCGCUCCUCUUUAACUGAGUCUUCAGAUGAGGUGAAGCGGUGGGGUCUUCAGAUUAUCCUGUCCUGGGAGCAGAAAGUUGAGUUGCAGAAGGAGGCCUCGUGUUUGAGGAGCUGGGGAACAUUUCCUCCUUCAUUGAUAGGUUCCUCCUGUCUCAGGCCUGAAGCACAUCUGAACGCAGAGGCAGGAGAACGGGCAAGGGAGAAAUAGGUAUGGCUCCGGGUGGGAGGAGGGCCCGGCAUCAAAGGAUCAAAGCCCCCACUUAGCAUCACAGUUUGCCUGUGCACGUUUCUGUGAAUUAGGCAAGCAAGAGAUAUAUUAUUACAGCAUUCCCUAAACUCCAUUUCAAUCAUACCCAAUUUCAAAAGGUGACUAACAGGUGAGGUGGGAUGGCAGAAAGAUCCCCGAGUCACAAGCACCUGGAAUCCCCAGGCUGGCGCUUUCUGAAUCAUUUAGUUGGAUGAGAUCUUAGAAAACCUUGCCUCACCCUUUCUGGAAGGCCAUCAUCACUUCCAGUGAAGCAAACCUGUUGCCUUCCAAAGCAUCAACAGCUCUUAUUGUUAGAAAAUGCCACCUGAAAUUUAGCUGAAACAGUCUAAUGGAGUGCUCAAUUCCAAAUGAACUUCUCUACCUCAUUAAGUAGAAUAAGAAAAUUGUAAGCCUCAGACAUCUUGAAUUUAGUCUUUGUCAAAAUUACGGUGAGGCUUGAUCCCUCAAACUUCAGUAGCAGGAGACUUAGAGGGCCCAGUUGCUGCUGACAUUGUUAAGCACUGAACUGAUAUUAGCAUUUGCUUAGAAAGACAAGAGAAUACCCACAUAUCCAAUACGUUUUAAGUAAAAAUCUAUACUUCUUUUGUAUGUUGUCAUUUAAAAUAAUGAAUUUAUCAGCUUAAUUAGAUAGAGCAAAAGUUUUUAUGUAAUUUGGAAAGUUUGGGUUAAUUGUCCCACCUCGAGAACGUGGAUGUUUAUCACAGGAAAUAUUUGUCAGAGUGUUUGUUGUAGAAAUCCGUGAUGCUCACUUCAAGCUAUAAUCUGUGUUUGCCACAGAGGUUUGUUCUAAUUCCCCAACCUUGCCACGACUGACCUGGGUCAUCACCAUGUGCUUAUUGAAGAGCCUUGGAAUACUGUAUAGACCCGUACAGAGUUGUUCAAAUAGGUAAGCACUUUCCUUCUGGUGAAUUUUUUUUUUUUUUUUUUUUUGAGAUGGAGUUUCACUCUUGUUGCCCAGGCUGGAGUGCAAUGGUGAGAUCUUGGCUCACUGCAACCUCCGCCUCCCAGGUUCAAGCGAUUCUCUUGCCUCAGCCUCCGGAGUAGCUGGGAUUACAGGCACCUGCCUCCACGCCCGGCUAAUUUUGUAUUUUUAGUAGAGAUGGGGUUUUCUCCAUGUUGGUCAGGCUGGUCUUGAACUCCCAACCUCAGGUGAUCUGCCUGCCUCGGCCUCACAAAGUGCUGGGAUUACAGGUGUGAGCCAACGCGCCAGGCCGAAAAUAUUUUAUAAUAAAGUGACUGUUGUAGAUCAACUUUAUAAUACAAUGCGGAUUCUCAAUUCUUAUAACAAAGACUAAUGUACAUAAAUUUCAGUAUGUUUUAAAAUUAGCCAGUACUUAGUAGAAAGCCCAUAUAGUUUACUGUAGCACUUCUGCACUUAUAGUUUAGGUCUAUCUAGAUGUAUGACUUCUCAGAUGCUGCCGAAUAUUGACCUUUUGCAUGGUAUUCAGUCUUUGAAUUUUUAUUUCAUAAUAUGCUGGAACCACGAUAUUCUAUCUGAUCAGCAACUGGUCUGGUAUCUGGGGCUCAUAAUUUUCUUUUUCCGCUUCAUAUUUCAGACAAUUGAGGACGACUAUAAUAGUUUCUCAUUAGAAAUACAUGCUAAUAAACAUCAUGUCUUUGGUAUUAAGUGGCAAUUAGAUGAAACAACCUGAAAUUCUGUCUGAUACCAAGAUUGAACUUUGCUGAGAUUACUGUUUCACUCACCGAAAAUAUCAGAAUACUCAAGGGAGUUAUUUUUUUUCUUAAUGUAACUUUCAUAAAGGAAAUGAAAGAAAUGUGGAGACUGAAAACAGUUGUCUGGUGUCUCAAUACUGCAUGCAGGUUCAACUACAUUCUAAGCAAGUUGACUGUUAUAAUACAUUUCACAUUUUCUGUGAUUUUGUUUGUGCUGAGACCUUAUGCAAUUACAAAGCAGAUUUUUUACACUAACCUACACUGAGAAAAGAAAACCACCGUUCCCCUUUUAAACAGGAGAGUGCCUCAAGUACACUCGGGAUCCCUCUCACCAAGCACAGCAAGGCUUGUGACUUCAAGCACACCAAGCUUGUGACUUUUUCUCCUACAAGGUGCACCUCGUUUUUUCUUACUGACAAAUUGGCUUUAAAGUAAAGUUAGUUCCCUAUCACACUGGCCCCCAAGACUCCAACUCCUGCUUCUCUUGGGAUCUCUGCCCAGAGUCCAAUCUCCCCUAAGGCGUGGUGCAGUGCUGUGCCCACACCUAGGCUCUGGGGGUGGGCACCCUUUGACUUUCCUCAUAUCAUUCCACCCUCGACACAUCCAAAUGUGAACACAUCUUCUCCACAAAGUGCCCCUUCACCACGCCAGUUCCCAGACACUUUAUUUCUUCCCUUGCCUAGAGUGCUGCCCCCAAAACCAGCCCCCCAUCAUUGGCCAUGUCCUUGCAGAGGCUGAACCAUCCCACAAUCUGUCAAGGAUAUCAGGGAAGAGCAUGAGCUGGAUAGACUUCAGGCUCUGCCAGCAGCUACAUUCUAGGGGUGCCCGGACGUCCUGGUCUCUUGAGAUGAGAUGGUCUUGUGUCUGGAAUUGGUCUCACUGACUAAAAGAAUAAAGCCGCAGACCUUCACAGUGAGUGUGACAGUUUUUAAAGAUGGUGUGUCUGGAGCUAGUUCCUUCAGAUGUUUGGACGUGUUCAGUUUCUUUCUGCUGGUGGGUUUGUGGUCUCGCUUGCUUCAGGAGUGGCUGCAGACCUUUGUAGUGAGUGUCACGAGCUCUUAAGGUGGUGCGCCUGGAGUUUCUCAUUCCUCCCAGUGGGUUUGCCAUCUCACUGCCUUUAAGGAGGGAAGCUGCAAAGCUUCGCGCAGUACGACAGUUUCCAAACAUGAUGCAAGCACAGCUUACCACGGUUGCCUCCGC